This 349-nucleotide unclassified non-coding RNA is filed under the name Rhizophydium sp. RNAcentral's name for it is "partial internal transcribed spacer region". The stretch from base 1 to 46 matches the Rfam family "Eukaryotic small subunit ribosomal RNA", at positions 1786 to 1831 of the family's 1831-position model. The record is from RNAcentral. Lineage: Eukaryota; Fungi; Chytridiomycota; Chytridiomycetes; Rhizophydiales; Rhizophydiaceae.
AAGUCGUAACAAGGUAACCGUAGGUGAACCUGCGGUUGGAUCAUUAUAAAUAUUUUUUAUAAUUUUUUUUACAAGAUAUUAUAGAAUUUCAUAAUAGUUUUUUUUUGAUUUUUGCUCCAUAAAAAUUAUUUGUUGAGCAGAAUGAUCUUUUGUAUUAUGAAAUUCUAUAAGUCUUUGUAUUAAAAACAAACACUAUGUGCACUAUAAUAGUUUUUUGGGUUAUCUUUUUUAAAAAAAAAAGGUAAUCCAGUCUAUAUAUAAACCAAUAUUUUUUAUUAUAAGUCUGACGUUUUUUUCAUAUAAAAUUGAAAUAUAAAAACAACUUUUGACAACGGAUCUCUUGGCUCUC